Molecule: transfer RNA, 71 nt
Filed under: Sphaerodactylus townsendi
Lineage: Eukaryota; Metazoa; Chordata; Lepidosauria; Squamata; Sphaerodactylidae
Description: tRNA-Pro
Source: RNAcentral
GGGGCUCCGUGGCAGAGAAUCUGCUCAGGCCGGCAUGCAGAAGGUGCCGGGUUCAAUCCCCGGCAUCUCCA